Molecule: ribosomal RNA, 550 nt
Filed under: uncultured bacterium
Lineage: Bacteria
Description: partial 16S ribosomal RNA
Rfam family: Bacterial small subunit ribosomal RNA
Source: RNAcentral
UGGGGAAUAUUGCACAAUGGGCGAAAGCCUGAUGCAGCAACGCCGCGUGAGUGAUGAAGGCCUUCGGGUUGUAAAGCUCUGUCUUUUGGGACGAUAAUGACGGUACCAAAGGAGGAAGCCACGGCUAACUACGUGCCAGCAGCCGCGGUAAUACGUAGGUGGCAAGCGUUGUCCGGAUUUACUGGGCGUAAAGGAUGCGUAGGCGGAUUUUUAAGUGAGAUGUGAAAUACCCGGGCUUAACUUGGGUGCUGCAUUUCAAACUGGGAAUCUAGAGUGCGGGAGAGGAGAAUGGAAUUCCUAGUGUAGCGGUGAAAUGCGUAGAGAUUAGGAAGAACACCAGUGGCGAAGGCGAUUCUCUGGACCGUAACUGACGCUGAGGCAUGAAAGCGUGGGUAGCAAACAGGAUUAGAUACCCUGGCAGUCCACGCCGUAAACGAUGAGUACUAGGUGUAGGAGGUAUCGACCCCUUCUGUGCCGCAGUUAACACAAUCAAGUACUCCGCCUGGGAAGUACGAUCGCAAGAUUAAAACUCAAAGGAAUUGACGGGGUC